RNAcentral lists this ribosomal RNA (500 nucleotides) under uncultured marine ascomycete SIF12. RNAcentral describes it as "eukaryotic LSU rRNA". The stretch from base 137 to 291 matches the Rfam family "5.8S ribosomal RNA". Lineage: Eukaryota; Fungi; Ascomycota. The record is from RNAcentral.
UCGGCUAUACUUCAAACCUUUAGUCUACCUUGCAUUUUUUGCGUAUUCAGUUUCCUUGGUACGGCUUGCCUGACAAUUGGACAAAAUUAUAACCCUUUUAAUAUUUAAUCAGCGUCUGGAUAAUUUUAAUAAUUACAACUUUCAACAACGGAUCUCUUGGUUCUGGCAUCGAUGAAGAACGCAGCGAAAUGCGAUAAGUAGUGUGAAUUGCAGAAUUCAGUGAAUCAUCGAAUCUUAGAACGCACAUUGCACCCCUUGGUAUUCCAUGGGGCAUGCCACGUUCGAGCGUCAUUUGUAAUCUCAAGCUAUGCUUGGUGUUGGGCACUUGUCUCAGUCAAGCCUGCAGAAUUGCCUUAAAUACAUUGGCAGCCAGUAUUUUGGUUUGAAAUGUGCAGCACAGCGCCUCAGCUAUUUAAUACAGGCAACCAUGAAGAUUUAUCACUCUUUUGACCUCGGAUCAGGUAGGGAUACCCGCUGAACUUAAGCAUAUCAAUAAGCGG